AUUGAACGCUGGCGGCAGGCCUAACACAUGCAAGUCGAGCGAGCGGCGGACGGGUGAGUAAUGUAUGGGGACUGCCCGAUAGAGGGGGAUAACUACUGGAAACGGUGGCUAAUACCGCAUACUAUCGGAUAACCCAUAUGGGAUUAGCUAGUGGGUGGGGUAACGGCUAACCUAGGCGACGAUCUCUAGCUGGUCUGAGAGGCUGAUCAGCCACACUGGGACGGGGACACGGCCCAGACUCCUACGGAGGCAGCAGUGGGGAAUAUUGCACAAUGGGCGGAAGCCUGAGUCAGACAUGCGGGGUGUAUGAAGAAGGCCUUAGGGUUGUAAAGUACGUUCAGCGGGGAGGCGGUACCCGCAGAAGAAGCACCGGCUAACUCCGUGCCAGCAGCCGCGGUAAUAC
RNAcentral lists this ribosomal RNA (403 nucleotides) under uncultured bacterium. Its description in RNAcentral is "partial 16S ribosomal RNA". It matches the Rfam family "Bacterial small subunit ribosomal RNA", at positions 29 to 526 of the family's 1533-position model. The record is from RNAcentral.